This 28-nucleotide non-coding RNA is filed under the name Mus musculus (house mouse). The record is from RNAcentral. Lineage: Eukaryota; Metazoa; Chordata; Mammalia; Rodentia; Muridae.
UCAAUGGAUUCACAUGGCUGUCUGCAUC